UCUCCGUAGGUGAACCUGCGGAGGGAUCAUUACAGAGCUCAUGCCCUACCGGGUAGAUCUCCCACCCUAUGUUAUUAUUACUUUGUUGCUUUGGCGGGCCGUUAGGCUCCGGCCCGACUACCGGCCCCGGCUGGUAAGCGCCCGCCAGAGGACCCAAAACCCUGAAUAUUAGUGUCGUCUGAGUACUAUAUAAUAGUUAAAACUUUCAACAACGGAUCUCUUGGUUCUG
RNAcentral lists this unclassified non-coding RNA (229 nucleotides) under plant metagenome. RNAcentral describes it as "partial contains small subunit ribosomal RNA, internal transcribed spacer 1, and 5.8S ribosomal RNA". The record is from RNAcentral.